Molecule: ribosomal RNA, 394 nt
Filed under: Streptomyces sp. JMCNT25
Lineage: Bacteria; Bacillati; Actinomycetota; Actinomycetes; Kitasatosporales; Streptomycetaceae
Description: bacterial SSU rRNA
Rfam family: Bacterial small subunit ribosomal RNA
Source: RNAcentral
AGCGGGUGAUAGCUCUUGCUUCUUGUGAGAGUUGCUAACGGCCGAUUGGUGCCUAGUAAUCUGCCUGGUAGUGGGGGAUAACGCCCCGAAAUGAACGCUAAUACCGCAUACGUCCUACGGGAGAAAGCAGGGGACCUUCUGGCCUUGCGCUAUCCAUGAGCCUAGGUCGGAUUAUCUAGUUGGUGAGGUAAUGGCUCACCAAGGCAACGAACCGUAACUGGUCUGAGAGGAUGAUCACNCACACUGGAACUGAGACACGGUCCAAACUCCUACUGGAGGCAGCAGUGGGGAAUAUUGGACCUUGGGCGAAAGCCUGAUCCAGCCAUGCCGCGUGUGUGAAGAAGGUCUUCGGAUUGUAAAGUACUUUCAGCUGGGAGGAAUGGUUUUUGACUAG